RNAcentral lists this ribosomal RNA (264 nucleotides) under uncultured bacterium. RNAcentral describes it as "partial 16S ribosomal RNA". It matches the Rfam family "Bacterial small subunit ribosomal RNA", at positions 92 to 353 of the family's 1533-position model. The record is from RNAcentral.
CGACCGGCGCACGGGUGAGUAACACGUAUCCAACCUGCCGAUGACUCGGGGGAUAGCCUUUCGAAAGAAAGAUUAAUACAAGAUGGCAUCAUGAGUCCGCAUGUUCACAUGAUUAAAGGUAUUCCGGUAGACGAUGGGGAUGCGUUCCAUUAGAUAGUAGGCGGGGUAACGGCCCACCUAGUCUUCGAUGGAUAGGGGUUCUGAGAGGAAGGUCCCCCACAUUGGAACUGAGACACGGUCCAAACUCCUACGGGAGGCAGCAUG